GCUCAGGAUGAACGCUAGCUACAGGCUUAACACAUGCAAGUCGAGGGGUAGCAGGGUAGCAAUACCGCUGACGACCGGCGCACGGGUGAGUAACACGUAUCCAACCUUCCCAUAACUCAGGGAUAGCCUUUCGAAAGAAAGAUUAAUACCUGAUAGUACUUAUUAGAGGCAUCUUUUAUAAGUUAAAGAUUUAUUGGUUAUGGAUGGGGAUGCGUUCCAUUAGAUAGUUGGUGAGGUAACGGCUCACCAAGUCUUCGAUGGAUAGGGGUUCUGAGAGGAAGGUCCCCCACAUUGGUACUGAGACACGGACCAAACUCCUACGGGAGGCAGCAGUGAGGAAUAUUGGUCAAUGGGCG
Molecule: ribosomal RNA, 356 nt
Filed under: uncultured Bacteroidales bacterium
Lineage: Bacteria; Pseudomonadati; Bacteroidota; Bacteroidia; Bacteroidales
Description: bacterial SSU rRNA
Rfam family: Bacterial small subunit ribosomal RNA
Source: RNAcentral